Molecule: ribosomal RNA, 497 nt
Filed under: uncultured bacterium
Lineage: Bacteria
Description: partial 16S ribosomal RNA
Rfam family: Bacterial small subunit ribosomal RNA
Source: RNAcentral
GAUGAACGCUGGCGGCGUGCCUAAUACAUGCCAGUCGAGCGAACGGACGAGAAGCUUGCUUCUCUGAUGUUAGCGGCGGACGGGUGAGUAACACGUGGAUAACCUACCUAUAAGACUGGGAUAACUUCGGGAAACCGGAGCUAAUACCGGAUAAUAUUUUGAACCGCAUGGUUCAAAAGUGAAAGACGGUCUUGCUGUCACUUAUAGAUGGAUCCGCGCUGCAUUAGCUAGUUGGUAAGGUAACGGCUUACCAAGGCAACGAUGCAUAGCCGACCUGAGAGGGUGAUCGGCCACACAGGAACUGAGACACGGUCCAGACUCCUACGGGAGGCAGCAGUAGGGAAUCUUCCGCAAUGGGCGAAAGCCUGACGGAGCAACGCCGCGUGAGUGAUGAAGGUCUUCGGAUCGUAAAACUCUGUUAUUAGGGAAGAACAUAUGUGUAAGUAACUGUGCACAUCUUGACGGUACCUAAUCAGAAAGCCACGGCUAACUACGUG